RNAcentral lists this ribosomal RNA (900 nucleotides) under Methanosaeta sp. enrichment culture clone AB19. RNAcentral describes it as "bacterial SSU rRNA". It matches the Rfam family "Archaeal small subunit ribosomal RNA", at positions 1 to 906 of the family's 1478-position model. The record is from RNAcentral. Lineage: Archaea; Methanobacteriati; Methanobacteriota; Methanomicrobia; Methanotrichales; Methanotrichaceae.
UUCCGGUUGAUCCCGCCGGAGGUUACUGCUAUCGAGGUUCGACUAAGCCAUGCGAGUCGAAUGUAGCAAUACAUGGCGAACUGCUCAGUAACACGUGGACAACCUGCCCUUAGGACGGGGAUAAACCCGGGAAACUGGGUAUAAUACCCGAUAGGUCUCGAUUGCUGGAAUGCAUCGAGAUUUAAAGCUCCGGCGCCUAAGGAUGGGUCUGCGGCCUAUCAGGUAGUAGUGGGUGUAGCGUACCUACUAGCCUACGACGGGUACGGGUUGUGAGAGCAAGAGCCCGGAGAUGGAUUCUGAGACACGAAUCCAGGCCCUACGGGGUGCAGCAGGCGCGAAAACUUUACAAUGCUGGCAACAGCGAUAAGGGAACCUCGAGUGCCAGGUUACAAAUCUGGCUGUCGAGAUGCCUAAAAAGCAUUUCAUAGCAAGGGCCGGGCAAGACCGGUGCCAGCCGCCGCGGUAACACCGGCGGCUCGAGUGGUAACCGUUAUUAUUGGGUCUAAAGGGUCUGUAGCCGGCCGGAUAAGUCUCUUGAGAAAUCUGGCAGCUUAACUGUCAGGCUUUCAGGAGAUACUGUCUAGCUCGAGGCCGGGAGAGGUGAGAGGUACUUCAGGGGUAGGGGUGAAAUCUUGUAAUCCUUGAAGGACCACCAGUGGCGAAGGCGUCUCACCAGAACGGACCUGACGGCAAGGGACGAAAGCUAGGGGCACGAACCGGAUUAGAUACCCGGGUAGUCCUAGCCGUAAACGAUACUCGCUAGGUGUCGGCCACGGUGCGACCGUUGUCGGUGCCGUAGGGAAGCCGUGAAGCGAGCCACCUGGGAAGUACGGCCGCAAGGCUGAAACUUAAAGGAAUUGGCGGGGGGAGCACCACAACGGGUGGAGCUUGCGGGUUAAU